Molecule: transfer RNA, 71 nt
Filed under: Rattus norvegicus (Norway rat)
Lineage: Eukaryota; Metazoa; Chordata; Mammalia; Rodentia; Muridae
Rfam family: tRNA
About the family: Transfer RNA (tRNA) molecules are approximately 80 nucleotides in length. Their secondary structure includes four short double-helical elements and three loops (D, anti-codon, and T loops). Further hydrogen bonds mediate the characteristic L-shaped molecular structure. tRNAs have two regions of fundamental functional importance: the anti-codon, which is responsible for specific mRNA codon recognition, and the 3' end, to which the tRNAs corresponding amino acid is attached (by aminoacyl-tRNA synthetases). tRNAs cope with the degeneracy of the genetic code in two manners: having more than one tRNA (with a specific anti-codon) for a particular amino acid; and 'wobble' base-pairing, i.e. permitting non-standard base-pairing at the 3rd anti-codon position.
Source: Rfam by way of RNAcentral
GGGAAUGUGGCUCAGUUAGUAUAGUGCUUGUCGCCAUCCGAGGAGCCUGGGUUCAAAUCCCAGCACUCUUU